CCUACGGGAGGCUGCAGUGAGGAAUAUUGGUCAAUGGUCGGGAGACUGAACCAGCCAAGCCGCGUGAGGGAUGAAGGUACAGAGUAUCGUAAACCUCUUUUGUCAGGGAACAAAGGCGGGGACGUGUCCCCGGAUGAGUGUACCUGAAGAAAAAGCAUCGGCUAACUCCGUGCCAGCAGCCGCGGUAAUACGGAGGAUGCGAGCGUUAUCCGGAUUGAUUGGGUUUAAAGGGUGCGCAGGCGGUCUGUUAAGUCAGCGGUCAAAGCCCGGGGCUCAACCCCGGCCCGCCGUUGAAACUGGCAGUCUCGAGUUGGAGAGAAGUAUGCGGAAUGCGCGGUGUAGCGGUGAAAUGCAUAGAUAUCGCGCAGAACUCCGAUUGCGAAGGCAGCAUGCCGGCUCCACACUGACGCUGAGGCACGAAAGCGUGGGUAUCGAACAGGAUUAGAUACCCGGGUAGUC
RNAcentral lists this ribosomal RNA (459 nucleotides) under uncultured bacterium. RNAcentral's name for it is "partial 16S ribosomal RNA". It matches the Rfam family "Bacterial small subunit ribosomal RNA", at positions 338 to 795 of the family's 1533-position model. The record is from RNAcentral.